RNAcentral lists this long non-coding RNA (5560 nucleotides) under Homo sapiens (human). RNAcentral's name for it is "non-protein coding LINC02320:23". The record is from RNAcentral. Lineage: Eukaryota; Metazoa; Chordata; Mammalia; Primates; Hominidae.
AGAAAAGAAACUCCUGAGCCUGCUCCAGAGCUUCUGUUCAGCAGGCCUGAGGUGGGACCAUACACCUGUCUUUUCAGCAAGCCCCCCCCCACCUCUGAGGAUGCACCCCAAAGCUAGAGAAUUCCUGCUCUGAGCCAUCUCUGAAAGCACCAAGAGCCAGGGCCAGGGAAGCUGGGCUGGAGGAAGCUGUCUGGGAGCCCAGGAGGCAAGCAGAAAACCGCCAGGACCGCCCCACGCUGGGGGAGCAGCAGGCACGGCCCCUACCAACACCCCCUGGCACCUCGCAAAGCUAGAGCCCGCCCGGUCCCCUCCCCGGAGCGCCCUGGUCUUUGGUUCGUAUUCAGCACAUCUUCAGAAACAGUGAUAGAAAAAUGCUGGUUUCUGACUCCACCAGCUCACGGAGGAGAUGCCAGCUCACGGAGGAAAAUCUGGAAGGUGUUGAAGCAUAGACGCUGGAACAUAAAAUGACUCAUGAUCUCACUGGGAGAAGGGCUGGGAACAUCGUGGGCUCUCUUCUCCCCGCGCUCCUCUCUCCGGGUCUCUGUUUCCCUCAUUCCACGAUGUUUAGAACCAUCGGCGCACUACAUCAGACUAGAGGUCUGGGGUCACCCGACCAUCCCGCCACAAGCCCCUCCGAGGCAUCACUGUGUCCAGAUUUUGCAAACUGCACCUCCUGAAGGGGCUGGGGUCUGUCCACUUCGCCCCAUCUGCCGUGGCAGCACUUCCUCCGUGGUUCGCACCCCCACAGCAGCCUCCUGGGAAGGCACCUCCCUGGGGCCCCUCUCAGUCCACGGUGUGGAUAUGGUCAGGAAGAUUCCUGCAGCUGCUGAGUUAGUACUUUUAAGAAAGUACUGGAUUCCCUCUCACAAUGGGACUUUGAUUUUUUUAAGAAAAAGGUUUCAUAAGUUUUCAAAUAACCUGGAGCAGUUGAGCAAACUUAAUGUGCAGCGUGGUCCCUGCUGGCUGGGUUUGAGGGGCUGGGUCUCUCUGAGUGGAUGCUGGUGAGGUGCAGAGGAAGAAGAAAAGGUGCCUGAGGGCCUGUGUGGAAGGCCUGUCACACAGCACAUCCUGGGAAAUCUGUCCAGGAAGCAGCCAGGCGGGCAUCAGCCAGGCGGGCAUCAGCAUCUUCACUGUGCAGAUGAGAAACUGAGGCCGCAGAGGUGAAGGGACAUGCCCAGGAUCACUAAGGCAAGACGGGGGAAGAGCAGAGAUCUUGGGCAUGAUCUCGGCUCACUGCAACCUCCACCUCCCAGGUUCAAGGGAUUCUCCUGCUUCAGCCUCCCAAGGAGCUGGGAUUACAGGUGCCCGCCACCACGCCCGGCUAAUUUUUGUAUGUUUAGUAGAGACAGGGUUUCACCAUGUUGGCCAGGCUGGUCUCGAAUUCCUGAUCUCAAGUGAUCCGCCUUGCUCUGUCCCUUAGGGACCUCAGCUUAGUGUUCCACACACUGGCAGAUCGCCUCGUUCUUCUCAGGGCUCAGUGUUUUCCUGAGUCUGAACCACGAUCUGGGUAGCCAUCCCCUGGCGAGGACCAUUCGGGGUUCCAGCAGUCACAUGCCACGGUAAACAAGCUUCGUAAACAUCCCACGACAAAGGUGGGAGAGAAUCCCAGUAGGGACAAUGACUACAGGUGGAAUUGCUGGGAAAAAGUAUGUCGGUUUUAAGUGUUGAUAACUGGUCCUUUAUUGGUCGUGGUCAUUCAUUCUUCUGCCAGGCGGGGCUGGUGUUCCUAUAUCCUCUCCUCACCAACAGAGCGUCUUAUGUUUAUUUGUUGGCAACGUGGCAGGUGAAACAUGUACCCUGUCAUUAAAAAAAAUUAUACUUGGCUGGGCACGGUGGCUCACACCUGUAAUCCCAGAGCUUGGGAAGCUGAGGUGGGUGGAUUGCUUGAGGCCCGGAGCUCGAGGCUAGCUUGGGCAGCACAACGAGACCCUGUUUCUACAAAAAAUACAAAAAUUAGUGGGGUGUAGUAGUGCACGCCUGUAGUCCCAGCUACUGGGGAGGCUGAGGUGGGAGGAUCACUUGAGCCUGUCUCAGAACAAACAAACAAACAAACAAAAAUAAGAAAAAAAUACAUAGUUUUAAAACAGUUUUAAACACAUUUGGGAAAAUAUAGGCAGUAGAAAUAGCAGUUGUGCUGUUAAUGCCUCAGACAGGGCUGGGCUCGUAGUAGGUGCUCAAUAAAUAUGUAUUAAGUAAGUGAAUAAGGAAGAAAAUCCCAUGGCUCUGCCAACAAGAAACACUUCUGUCAACAUUUCACUGUGUUUGUUUUCCUGAGUAUUUUUUCCUCUACAUAAUUUAGCUUUGUUUUCCAUUCAUUAUGCUCACCCGUGCAGACACAGUUUUUAAUCUUGUUUCUUUUUUUUCACUUCACGUUGUUGACAUGUGUGUUUCUCUCUUCUAAGCAGCGUUUCAGCAUCUCUAUAAAACCCUCACAGGUAUGUGAACCAUAGAUCAUUUGAAUCGUCUAUUGUGCUUUUAGGCUGUUUUCAAUUUUUCUUUUUAUAAAUGAUGCAGCAGAGUAUCUUUAUGCAGAGACCGUUUCCAUACUUCCCCCUGUGCAGAAGGAAAAGUAGGCAGAAGAAAGAUUAACUUGGUCAAAGCUUUUAAAAUCUGAUUUAAUACUUCUUAAGAAUGAUGCACCUUAUGAAACAACUUUAUAUCUGUUGAAAAACCUAGUUCUUUUUUUAAUAUUGUUUUAAAAAAUGACUUGUUCUGAACAAUAUCCUGUGCCUUUCAGAAGACAGCGACGGAUAUGAAAGGAGAUUUGUUCUCUCCAAGCUCUUAGGAGGCGAUCUGGCUCAGGAAACAGACACAUCAGAUCCGAGCAUGUAUCUGAUGGUUGCUAUGGGAACAAGUCAUUUAACAGCCACUCAGCUAAAGCAUUGAUCAAUAAGGAAGGGGGCAGGAGGGAAAUAAAUUAGUUGGUGUCUGAAUAGCCCUGAGAGAGAGCAAUAAUGCGUCCCCUUCCCAUGGCAGGGGCCCGGGCAGGAGGCAGGGGCGAAGUCUCGUCCAUCCACGCUGGGAUGUGUGGGGUAGGAGGGCAGAGGGGGCAGAGAACAGAAUCAUAUUGGGGUGAGAAACCUGCUCCCCAAACCAGAUAUGGGGCAAGUGAGGCCUUAGACAAGGCUGGGGGCAGGGCUCCCAGGGAUGGGGGCACGGCUGGUCCCGCUUCUCCACGCUCCUGUGAUGUGCUUGCCGGGCCUGCUGGGAUACCCUGUGGCACCCCAUCGCUCUAGUGGGGAGUUCCGGUCUAGAGAGGAGCCGUGACUCCUUCCAGGCACAUGGUCAACCCCACUUGUCUUCUGGGGGCUCCCAGCCUGGCAGGGGAGAAAGGCAAAGGCCCUCACGGGGUCGUUCAUUGAUUCAUCCACAAAUACUUCCUGAGCCUGUCUGAGGGACCAUGCUCAGGCCUGGGCAGACAGCAGAGACCCAAGGAAAGAACAGAACUUGGGCUCUGGGGCCAAAUCGUGGCUCGGCCACUUGGCAGGCUCUUCACCUGUAACGUGUUGAGAAAGUGACGUAAAGUCAGAGCCAGGAGUGGGCAUCCUGAGUGCUCAGCUGCCAUUGCUGGGACUCAUAAUCGCAAGGGAAGGCAGAGACAGAAGUGAGGGUUCCUAAGUGGAAGGUACUCAUAAAGCCUUGGCUGAAUACGUAUGGCUGACACAGGGGUGUCUGUGUUUGCCACCAAAGGGUGGCCCUGGGCUGGGAUUACACACGGAGAGAAGGCGGGAGGAAAGUCAGGGAGCCUCAGACCAUUGGAGGCUGCAUCUAUUGACCUCUGAUCCCCACAGGCAUGGGUGUGGGUGUGGGUGUGGGUGUGGCUGGCUCAAGGGUCAGUGCCCACCAGAGAACUGGACCAUAGAUGAGCUGGACUUUUCCAACCCUGCCAGCCUGGGCCAUCUCAAGGGUGCUAUUGGUUGUGAGGGGAGGAGGCCCUCUUUUCUGAGUCCCUCCCCAGAUGAGUGCAAGCUGGGACACAUAUACGAGAAGGAUCCUAAUAACAUGCAUGCCAAAAUCCUGCUGUCCCAGCCUUUGGUUCCAGCAGUUUGACUUCUGGAAGUCUUUCCCAAGGAAAUAACCUUGAACCCACGGUGUCUGCUGUAGCAUUCUUCAUAAGAGUGACUGCAAACAACCUCUAAGCCCCAAAUCAUGUAUUGGUUAAAAAAAUAAUGAUUCCUUUUCUUGCUUUAACUCAGGUGAUCCCUAGAAACACAGCCAGUGGCCCGGAAGCUGCACUGUUUUGUGCACCGCAGGGAUGGGCACAGAUGGGGCUGCCUGCCCUCCUCCUGGAAGGAGGGAGAACCCAGUCUGGCCUGGAGUGGUCAAGAGCUAACUCUAGACUCAGCAAGACCUACUUCUCUCUCCUGCCCCUACUUCCUUGCUGCUGACCUGGGCAAGUCGCUGAAGCCUCUCCGUGCCUCAGUCUGCUCGUGCGUAAGAUGGGCACAGGGCACACUGCCUACUUGAUUGGGCUCAACCACGUGCAGUAAGUAGCUGGUGUCUGGCAAGAGCCCUCAGGAAACAGUAACCCCAUUAAUUCAAAUGCACGUGCCUGGAACAGGCUCUGGGGGGCCAGCCCGGGAGUCCCACUCCAUGAUGGCCACCCUGGGGCCUGGCAGGCUGGGCUGGCAUCCCAGGCCCACCGGAUACUGGCUGUGCACCCCGGCCAGGCCACACAUCUCUGAGCCUCACUUUCCCGUGUGUGAGAUGAGGCUAGAAGCUGCUUUCUCUUGCGUGUGUGGGGAUUGGCGGUGACAACACGGCCAGGAGCCCAGGCCCAGCCUACGCGAGCAGCCUCGCUCCAGGCCACACGCCCCACUCCUGACAGCUCUGUGCAGCGAGUUCGUGCGCGAGCGGGUGGCUGUCUGCCAGGCGAGGGGCGCGGGUGCCCAAGAGGGCUUCACUGCUUCUGGAAAGAUCACAAGGAAAAACCACCUCCGCGGCGGGACGCUACCCGCGGGCCGCUGCGGUCCCGCUCGCGGCCGGCAGGGGGCAGGAUGUCCCCGCGAGUCGCCCGUGUCUUCGGGUGUCCUCAGGUCACCCCGCACCGCUCGCAGCCUCCGCGCCUAGUUAAAGGGCGACGCACUCAUUUCUGCAAAGAAGGAGCCCAGCGGCCCCUCCCCGGGGAACUCUUUCCAUCAACUCGGGGCCUAAUAAUUUACAUUUAAUUUGUUAGCGGUUUAAUGUUUAAUUUUAAAAGCGAGAUGAUUCAUUACCAUAUUAAUAAAUAAUAACAUUUAUUAUUCUCCUAAUGAGUGUCCAAAAUACAGAAGCAAUUACAUGUUUUAUAUAUUUUCUCGUAAUUUGAGACACCAGAGCGUUAAUUACAGAGACUCACGCGUGGACCCCAUUCUGAUCCAGGGUCCUGAUCCUGCCUUUGUUUCGGUCUCUGAACCAGCCGCCCUCCGGGGCUUCUGCAAUUCCCUCAAUUAGAGGAGAGGAAGUCGUACGUGACGAAGCUGGGGCUCUCACAGAACCCCGGCGCCCCAGACCCAGGAGCUGCAAGACCUCAGCUCCCCGUGCCCACACUCGGAGACCCAGGCCCCUCCCAGUCCCCCGU